Molecule: ribosomal RNA, 162 nt
Filed under: uncultured bacterium
Lineage: Bacteria
Description: partial 16S ribosomal RNA
Rfam family: Bacterial small subunit ribosomal RNA
Source: RNAcentral
CGGGAACUGCGCUUGAGACUGCCGCGCUGAGAGGCCGAGAGAGGAUAGCGGAAUUCCCAGUGUAGAGGUGAAAUUCGUAGAUAUUGGGAAGAACACCAGUGGCGAAGGCGGCUAUCUGGCUCGGUACUGACGCUGAGGCGCGAAAGCGUGGGGAGCAAACAG